GAUUUUUAAUAAGUUAAAUGUCUUAUUCUAGGAAGGGCAUUUAUGAAGACUUGCUUUCAUUUUCAUAUGUACAGGAUUCAAAUUUCAUCAGGUACAAUCUUUUUCUUUAUAGAAGAGGCAAUACAUGAAGAGAGAGUGAGAGGGCUAUAAAUUGCAACUGAGAAGCCUUGUCAAAUCUGCUGACCUUAAGUAGAGUUUUAAAUCUAAGAUGUCAAUAGUUAUGUGGUACAUACGGUGCCCCAUGGAAAAGGAAAGUGCUGUCAUUCCUUAACCAUAUGCUUUCCACCGGGACAUUCCCUUCUAGCACUUGAACAAUCUGCAUCAAACAGUAAUUAUAAUUAUAGAAUUAAUGCUUAAACAUACAAAUUAUUAAUCUUAUAAAAAAACCUAUAAAUUAUUAAUUUCUAUAGUCAGGGAUGAUUAGUUAGCAAAACAAUUUGUUUGGUUCCAAUAUAAUUAUAUAAAAAGAAUAGUAAGUAAAUAUAUAAUCCUCUUGGAUUUUACAUACAUGGCUCAUUUGUGGGCGAUAAUCUGCAGGCUUGUACACACAAGAUGCAGCACAAUGAAUCAUCCUAAUCAUUUUAUCUUUAUUAUAGCUUUGUAAUUUUUCAUCAAUAAUAACAUUAUAAUCGCCUUUGUCCAAUGCUCGUUUGAUCAGGGGCACUGCCUGAAAUUUUCAAAAUAAAAAUAUUAGCUACUUAAAUAACUCAUAGCUAGUUAAAUAUUUAAGUUACAAUGGAAUUCCAGUAGGUAAUAAGUUGGACUUCAUUAAUAGAAUUACGAAUAAGAAAUAAUCAAGAUAAAAUAACUUCCGUUUCAGAAAAUAAAAUAUAAUAGAAAAUCUAUUAAAUACAUACCAAAGUAGACAAUCUAUUAUGAAAACCGCUUUCAUUUUUAAUAGCUUUUUUCCCAGUAAUCAAUUCUAGAAGCACGAUACCAAAAGAAAAGACGUCGCACUUAUCAGUUAGCUUCCUAUCGUUGAUAUAUUCAGGAGCCAAAUACCUGCAUGCAAAUGGAGAAUGCGUGCGCAAGAUUAAACUAAUAAUUAAGAUUCUCUCAAAGAGUGAAAGUGCAGGGGAUGCAAUCAUGCAAACCUAUCAAAUAAAAGCAUAUAUCUUACCCUGAACUUCCUUCCGAGUUGACUCUGGAAAUAUAAGAAUUUGAAAGGUCCACAUUCAU
RNAcentral lists this unclassified non-coding RNA (1179 nucleotides) under Hevea brasiliensis (rubber tree). Lineage: Eukaryota; Viridiplantae; Streptophyta; Magnoliopsida; Malpighiales; Euphorbiaceae. The record is from RNAcentral.